AGUGACACAUGUACAUAUAUUUGGUACACACAAGUACCGCGUAGCCAGCCCGCAUUCAGUAAUUUAUAAAAAUAAUCUAAAGAUUUACGAUUAAGUUUUAUAUAUAUAUAGAGUACUGUCGAUUAUCAUAAAUUAACUAGCCAGUUAAUUAGAAUCCCUCCACUGAUCGAUCAUGUGUACAUAGUUAGUGCUUCUUUGCUUCUUUCUCAGCCUGCAAUAUAUAUAUAUAUAUAUAUAUAUAUAUAUAUAUAUAAUAACGAUAUAUGAAAAGAACAAUAUUAAUUAAUUAGUUAUUUAUUCAGCUUGCAUGCAUGCAAUAGAUAGAGAUGGAGAUGGAGAUGGAGAUGGAGAUGGAAUUAGGAAAUUUUAUUAUAUAAUUACGUACGUACGUACGUACCGCUUUGACAACCCGAUCGAAGGCAUCGGGUCCAUAUUUCUCAAUGUAACGUUCAACUGAUUUCCUAGCAUCAAGGCUCAUCAUCUGCAGAACUUUCCUGUGUCCUUCUGGAUGGGUUGAACUCACAUAUCCCCCCACUUUAACGUAUUUCCUAACCAAAUUCUCAUAAAUGAAAGCUGCACCAUUAAAUAUC
This 590-nucleotide long non-coding RNA is filed under the name Panax ginseng (ginseng). RNAcentral's name for it is "long non-coding RNA (PGIN_LNC011181)". The record is from RNAcentral. Lineage: Eukaryota; Viridiplantae; Streptophyta; Magnoliopsida; Apiales; Araliaceae.